RNAcentral lists this long non-coding RNA (446 nucleotides) under Homo sapiens (human). RNAcentral's name for it is "non-protein coding lnc-ADTRP-4:1". The record is from RNAcentral. Lineage: Eukaryota; Metazoa; Chordata; Mammalia; Primates; Hominidae.
CUUCUUUACUCCUGGGAAGAGGUGAGCAAGGGAAAGAGGAAGAUCUCUGUUGCUCUCUAUCUGAAACCUGCUAGGGCUUUUCUUUGCCUUCUAAACACAGUUCAGCCUCCUGAACAGCACAUACAAAUCUCUUCAUAAUAUGAAACUAGUGUAGUAUCUAUUUGCUAUUUUUCCAGGUUUAUUAUGGCACAAGAAACAUCGUUUCAAGAACUUCUUGGCAGAAUCUGAGGUAAAAAGUAAAUAAAUACAUAAAUAAAUAAAUAAAAUAAAACUUUUAUAGUUGAAGAUGCUUGCCUUUAGUGAAAACACCAAAUUCAAGAUUAACAUGUUAUAAAACCAUGGUUUUUGCAAGUUGAGGCACUUGAACACUGCAGACUUGUGAAAUGCAGCUGCUUAAGACUGUGACAAAAUGGUGUUUUUCUCACUUUCUAAUGAGUCCAAUGUAG